UUCUGCAGCCACGGCCACCCAUUUCAUAAAUCAUCCUCAAAAUUGAUCCGUCAAUUUCGUUGUCCCGUCUUCGUUGUCCCGUCCACUCUGGGUUUGCUCAUGGACUCAUCUUCAGAGGGAUCUGUCCAUCUAUCUAUC
Molecule: non-coding RNA, 138 nt
Organism: Caenorhabditis elegans
Lineage: Eukaryota; Metazoa; Nematoda; Chromadorea; Rhabditida; Rhabditidae
Source: Ensembl